UGGCCCCAUGAACAAGAAUAGAUUUUGAAACAAAAAAUGGUAGAAAAAGAGGAGGGGAAAGAGAGCAACGCUGAGAUGUGUUGGCAUCCAUCAUAUUCCAUGGAGAAUGUUAAAUUUUGAUGCUCCAACAGUGUCAAUAAAACCCCGAAUUGAUACCUCUGGUACAGAUAUAUUUUCACUCAGCAAUUCAUGGUCUAUAAAGAUGACAAUCACUGUUAUAUCAUCGUGAAAAGCCCGUCUGCUUCCCUUGUCUAUUUUCUUAAGUUCAUCAUAUAUCAUCUCCCCCUUCCCAGCCGCCUCUUUUAAAGCUGUUUUAACAAGCCUUUUUGCAAUUCCAGUACGUGGAUAAUUAUACACAAUCUCCACAGCCUCCUGGUUUGUCAUGUGUUCCCAAAGCCCAUCAGAUGCAAAUAUGAGAAAUUUAUCGUUGGCUUGUAAAACUCUUGAAUACAUGGAUGGGUCUGAUGUCAGCACAGGGCGGCGAAUGGGGUCAGGAAGGUGAAAUCUUGGAAAUGAAGGAUCAAGUGAAAACUCUGGCCUCUUCAAGUANNNNNNNNNNNNNUAGAUACCUGAAUAAUGCCCUUGAUGCGCCAAGCACCAUGCUUCAUAACUACAAUACGUGAAUCAUCUGGAUGCAAAGAUUUGAGCUCUUGUCUAACCUCUUCCAAACAAGCA
Molecule: unclassified non-coding RNA, 675 nt
Filed under: Hevea brasiliensis (rubber tree)
Lineage: Eukaryota; Viridiplantae; Streptophyta; Magnoliopsida; Malpighiales; Euphorbiaceae
Source: RNAcentral